GACGAACGCUGGCGGCGUGCUUAACACAUGCAAGUCGAGCGGUAAGGCCCUUUCGGGGGUACACGAGCGGCGAACGGGUGAGUAACACGUGGGUGACCUGCCCUUAGCUCUGGGAUAAGCCUGGGAAACUGGGGUCUAAUACCGGAUAUGACUCCAUGACGCAUGUUGUGGGGUGGAAAGCCUUGUGCGGCUAGGGAUGGGCCCGCGGCCUAUCAGCUUGUUGGUGGGGUGAUGGCCUACCAAGGCGACGACGGGUAGCCGGCCUGAGAGGGCGACCGGCCACACUGGGACUGAGACACGGCCCAGACUCCUACGGGAGGCAGCAGGUGGGGAAUCUUGCGCAAUGGGCGAAAGCCUGACGCAGCGACGCCGCGUGA
RNAcentral lists this ribosomal RNA (377 nucleotides) under uncultured bacterium. RNAcentral's name for it is "bacterial SSU rRNA". It matches the Rfam family "Bacterial small subunit ribosomal RNA", at positions 28 to 404 of the family's 1533-position model. The record is from RNAcentral.